Molecule: non-coding RNA, 1919 nt
Organism: Macaca mulatta (Rhesus monkey)
Lineage: Eukaryota; Metazoa; Chordata; Mammalia; Primates; Cercopithecidae
Source: RefSeq, a predicted model, not a curated record
AUAUUUCUGUAAUGACUCGAUUGUUUCUUAUAAAAUCCCCUAUGGAUUUGGCAGUGAGAUCCAACUAUUCAACCUCAUCUCUUAGAGAACCCAGUGGAUUUUAUCAGAUGGAAGUUAAUUGUGUUUCAUUGACCUUUUCUCUGAUCUGCUAGCUGGAUGGAGCCUCACCUUCAAGGGAACUAUCUUAAUCUGUCACCCAGAUUAUACAGCACAAGUUCUGGAAAGAAGAUCCUGGCAACAUAUCUAGCAGUUUUAUUCUCAUGAUCCUCCUCCUGUAGCUCAUCUUUAGAAAUGAGUGGAACAGGCAAGGUUUAUGCAAUGGGAGAAGGCCUAGAGAGAUCCUUUCUCCAUCUUCCAAAUGAUCACCUGAUGGAAAUUCCUGAAAUUCCACUUUUAGAGUGUUAUUCCUUUGGGUUAGUAUCUGGUUCUCACAAAUAUCUCUGGAAGUUUUACCACGUCAUGUGUUUUCACAAAUUACUGUGAAUUUCUUUAUUAGAUCCUUUUUACUGGAUGGGUGAGGGAUGGUCAUGAAACAGUUGUAGGUAGGGAUGGGAGAUGGAGGACGCUGGAUGUCUUGGGGAUUGGAGUUAGGUCAGGGAGACUUGAGGGAUGGAGAUCCUCUAGGUACCAAAUAACACUUGCUUGGCCUCAUGGCUUUGUCUCUGUGAACUUUACUGCCCUUUUUUUCCCCUAGUAUCAUUAUGAACUAAGUGCCCAUUUGUGUGUGACAAGCUUGAUACUGAACAUAUCAUGAAUUAGAUAGACAGGUAAGUCCUAUGUCCUUCAAUGGCUUAUAACAAAACCAAAUAACUGACCAAAUUCAGAUAGACGUUUUAGUAAGAUUUGUGUGAAAAGAGGUGAAACAGCAAAUCUGUGAAUUAAUAAAUUAUAAUAUUUACCAAUUAUGAUAAUAGUGAAUUUUUUAUGUUGAAGCCUGGGCCAGCCAGUGACUUGGGAAGAAUUGUGGACUAUUUUUCCAUUUGAAAAAAUAAUAAUAAUUCUAGAAGAGUUAUCUAGGAUGCAUUAAAAAAAAUCCUGGAGAGUAUUAGCUAUGAAGACUGCAUAAGGCAGAGGGAGAAUUGAACUGAAGAUGUGAAGUUGGAGUUGGAAGUAAGGAUGAGAGUUUGCUAAGAAGGCCUUUUCAGGACUGGUAAAGGAGAAGAAAUACAAAGAUCUUGACUUACCGUUGGUUUUCUGUUUCAUUUUCUGCACAGAAAUAGAAAGUCUUGAACUCUUCGGAUGGAGGCUAGAGUUCAAUUACUAAUUGUUUGGAACUAAGGGUCUGUUCUCUCACCCUAUAUCCUUGCAGAUACAGACAACCUAAAAAGGAAAAAGAAAAGUGAGAAGAGGGAAAGAAUAAGAAGGAUAAAAGAUGCCUGAAAAGGUGUCAAGAAAAUUUUGUGUCUGAAGGAAAUGCUAGUCCAGCUGUCUCAUUUUACAGAUGAAGAAUCUCAGACUCCAAAAAACAUCAGGCACAGGCGAGCCAGCAAUGCAUGCUGUUAAAGUACUGACCCUCUCCUUGACAGGAAAUCCUCGAGGGAACUGACGAGGCUCUCUCUCCAACUCCCUCAUUACACAUUAAAGAGAGGAGCUGAAAAAAAGAGGGAAGUUCUUCAACAUGUCAACUACAGGCAUCUGGUACUCACCUUCUCUACAAAGAGGAACUAAAAUAGUAGAUAAUUACACGUUGAAUAGAUAACCCAAGAAGAAACAGUGGAAUUCAACAGAGAUGUGAAAGGAAACACCUAAGGCAACGAAGGAGCAGAAAACAAGGCAACUUGCUCAGCCCAGAGCGCUAUUUCUUUCUGAUUUAGGGUUUGAUUUACUCUUGUCUAGUUUUUGAGGUGCAUAAUUAAAUUGAGUAUUUGUUCCACUUUUUGAUGUAGGUGUUUGUUGCAAUAAACUCUUAGCAGUGCUUU